UAACACAUGCAAGUCGAACGAGACCUUCGGGUCUAGUGGCGCACGGGUGCGUAACGCGUGGGAAUCUGCCCUUCGGUUGGGAAUAACACAGAGAAAUUUGUGCUAAUACCUUAUAAUGUCUUCGGACCAAAGAUUUAUCGCCGAGGGAUGAGCCCGCGUAGGAUUAGGUAGUUGGUGGGGUAAUGGCCUACCAAGCCGACGAUCCUUAGCUGGUCUGAGAGGAUGAUCAGCCACACUGGGACUGAGACACGGCCCAGACUCCUACGGGAGGCAGCAGUGGGGAAUAUUGGACAAUGGGCGAAAGCCUGAUCCAGCAAUGCCGCGUGAGUGAUGAAGGCCUUAGGGUUGUAAAGCUCUUUUACCAGGGAUGAUAAUGACAGUACCUGGAGAAUAAGCUCCGGCUAACUCCGUGCCAGCAGCCGCGGUAAUACGGAGGGAGCUAGCGUUGUUCGGAAUUACUGGGCGUAAAGCGCGCGUAGGCGGUUACUCAAGUCAGAGGUGAAAGCCCGGGGCUCAACCCCGGAACUGCCUUUGAAACUAGGUAACUAGAAUCUUGGAGAGGUCAGUGGAAUUCCGAGUGUAGAGGUGAAAUUCGUAGAUAUUCGGAAGAACACCAGUGGCGAAGGCGACUGACUG
RNAcentral lists this ribosomal RNA (636 nucleotides) under uncultured Alphaproteobacteria bacterium. RNAcentral describes it as "bacterial SSU rRNA". It matches the Rfam family "Bacterial small subunit ribosomal RNA", at positions 49 to 731 of the family's 1533-position model. Lineage: Bacteria; Pseudomonadati; Pseudomonadota; Alphaproteobacteria. The record is from RNAcentral.